RNAcentral lists this ribosomal RNA (1146 nucleotides) under Triticum aestivum (bread wheat). RNAcentral describes it as "partial small subunit ribosomal RNA". Lineage: Eukaryota; Viridiplantae; Streptophyta; Magnoliopsida; Poales; Poaceae. The record is from RNAcentral.
AUGCCACAUCGGCGACCGUGUCAACGCGACCACCGCCGCGUCACGAGUCAAGGGCGCAGCAUCAAGGUGACCUUCGAGCUCGCGAACCCGCCGGCCGUCUCUCGCUGCUUCGUCCACUGCCCCGACGUGGCGGAGAGCCGCUACGGCGGGGAUCCCGUGGUUGUGAGUUCCGCGGACGCGUUCGUCCUUCUCGUCGUCCCGUUUACUGACCGCUACGGGCGCAGCCUCGAUGUGUAUCGCUCCGAUAUCUCUAGGUGGCCGUGGCGCAACCAGGUGGUGGGCGUCGCCAAGCACACCACCAAGUACCACAAUCACGAGGUAAUAAUGCGACAUCAAGGCACCCGCGUGAUCUUUGCCGGAAGGGGAACACUCGGCUGGGUCAAUCAUUUGCAUGGCAUUCUUCUAUGCAACGUGCUCGAUCACAGUCCGAUCAUGCAUUUCAUCCAAUUGCCUGUUCCAGCCCCUUGCAAUCUGGUGUCGCGGUUCGGCAUGGGAGUCGACAAUAUUUCUGAACGGCCGCUUCGCGACGUCGUUAUAAGCAAUGGUGUGAUCAAGUUCAUCGAGCUGAAAUCUUCUUGGCGUGGUGAUAGCCGCAAUGAGAAGGGGGUCAUUGGCCAUGGCUGGACGGCCACCACAUGGAAUAGGGAGAUUUGCUCAAAGAAGUGGCACAAGAGGUUCACUUUCAAGGCUGAUGACAUGCCUGUCACAGGUUCAAGUUACCCUAACUUAUUGGGUGGCAAGAGGUUUAGUUGGGACAAAGUGCUUCACGGUUCGCCCACUCUUAGCUUGUGCGACGACGAUGUUGUCUACAUCAUGGCUAGAAUGGACAUCCGCCCUGCGGCUGCAUGGAUGCUUGCCAUUAACAUCAAAGAGGAAACACUGAAAGCAGUCAAGCAGUGUUCUACUGAAAGGAUGCCUGGUCUUGAACCAACAUAUGUUCGGUGUGCCUUGUCCGACUACCUCAAGCAACCGAGAAGGAUAUGGGAGGACACAAACCUUUCCAGUUAUGAGUGGUGCAAACGCAGGCAUAUCAUGUGCCAUGAGAAGGAUACGCGGAGCAGAGGACAUCUAGGGCAUGCCAUCAGGCUGGAGCCUUACAGGCCUCCGGUCUCCAUAAAACAUACAAGAAGAAUCUUGGAGAUGUAA